UAGGGAAUCUUCGGCAAUGGACGAAAGUCUGACCGAGCAACGCCGCGUGAGUGAAGAAGGUUUUCGGAUCGUAAAACUCUGUUGUUAGAGAAGAACAAGGACGUUAGUAACUGAACGUCCCCUGACGGUAUCUAUCCAGAAAGCCACGGCUAACUACGUGCCAGCAGCCGCGGUAAUACGUAGGUGGCAAGCGUUGUCCGGAUUUAUUGGGCGUAAAGCGAGCGCAGGCGGUUUCUUAAGUCUGAUGUGAAAGCCCCCGGCUCAACCGGGGAGGGUCAUUGGAAACUGGGAGACUUGAGUGCAGAAGAGGAGAGUGGAAUUCCAUGUGUAGCGGUGAAAUGCGUAGAUAUAUGGAGGAACACCAGUGGCGAAGGCGGCUCUCUGGUCUGUAACAGACGCUGAGGCUCGAAAGCGUGGGGAGCAAACAGG
This 429-nucleotide ribosomal RNA is filed under the name Gemmatimonadota bacterium. RNAcentral describes it as "Gemmatimonadetes bacterium partial 16S ribosomal RNA". It matches the Rfam family "Bacterial small subunit ribosomal RNA", at positions 355 to 776 of the family's 1533-position model. Lineage: Bacteria; Pseudomonadati; Gemmatimonadota. The record is from RNAcentral.